RNAcentral lists this ribosomal RNA (1329 nucleotides) under uncultured bacterium. Its description in RNAcentral is "bacterial SSU rRNA". It matches the Rfam family "Bacterial small subunit ribosomal RNA", at positions 28 to 1381 of the family's 1533-position model. The record is from RNAcentral.
GAUGAACGCUGACAGAAUGCUUAACACAUGCAAGUCUACUUGAUCCUUCGGGUGAUGGUGGCGGACGGGUGAGUAACGCGUAAAGAACUUGCCCUGCAGUCUGGGACAACAUUUGGAAACGAAUGCUAAUACCGGAUAUUAUGCGAGAUUCGCAUGUUUCUCGUAUGAAAGCUAUAUGCGCUGCAGGAGAGCUUUGCGUCCUAUUAGCUAGUUGGUGAGGUAACGGCUCACCAAGGCGAUGAUAGGUAGCCGGCCUGAGAGGGUGAACGGCCACAAGGGGACUGAGACACGGCCCUUACUCCUACGGGAGGCAGCAGUGGGGAAUAUUGGACAAUGGACCAAAAGUCUGAUCCAGCAAUUCUGUGUGCACGAUGAAGUUUUUCGGAAUGUAAAGUGCUUUCAGUUGGGACGAAGUAAGUGACGGUACCAACAGAAGAAGCGACGGCUAAAUACGUGCCAGCAGCCGCGGUAAUACGUAUGUCGCAAGCGUUAUCCGGAUUUAUUGGGCGUAAAGCGCGUCUAGGCGGUUUGGUAAGUCUGAUGUGAAAAUGCGGGGCUCAACUCCGUAUUGCGUUGGAAACUGUCAAACUAGAGUACUGGAGAGGUGGGCGGAACUACAAGUGUAGAGGUGAAAUUCGUAGAUAUUUGUAGGAAUGCCGAUGGGGAAGCCAGCCCACUGGACAGAUACUGACGCUAAAGCGCGAAAGCGUGGGUAGCAAACAGGAUUAGAUACCCUGGUAGUCCACGCCGUAAACGAUGAUUACUAGGUGUUGGGGGUCGAACCUCAGCGCCCAAGCUAACGCGAUAAGUAAUCCGCCUGGGGAGUACGUACGCAAGUAUGAAACUCAAAGGAAUUGGCGGGGACCCGCACAAGCGGUGGAGCAUGUGGUUUAAUUCGACACAACGCGAGGAACCUUACCAGCGUUUGACAUCCUAGGAAGUUGGCAGAGAUGCCUUUGUGCCCCUUCGGGGGAACCUAGUGACAGGUGGUGCAUGGCUGUCGUCAGCUCGUGUCGUGAGAUGUUGGGUUAAGUCCCGCAACGAGCGCAACCCCUUUCGCAUGUUGCCAUCAUUAAGUUGGGAACUCAUGCGAUACUGCCUGCGAUGAGCAGGAGGAAGGUGGGGAUGACGUCAAGUCAUCAUGCCCCUUAUACGCUGGGCUACACACGUGCUACAAUGGGUAGUACAGAGAGUCGCUAACCUGCGAGGGGGAGCUAAUCUCAGAAAACUAUUCUCAGUUCGGAUUGUACUCUGCAACUCGAGUACAUGAAGUUGGAAUCGCUAGUAAUCGCAAAUCAGCUAUGUUGCGGUGAAUACGUUCUCGGGUCU